Molecule: non-coding RNA, 45 nt
Filed under: Schistosoma mansoni
Lineage: Eukaryota; Metazoa; Platyhelminthes; Trematoda; Strigeidida; Schistosomatidae
Source: RNAcentral
AUUCAGCUUACGAGUCCCAAAUAGGAUGAAACGCGCAUCCUGGAU